RNAcentral lists this ribosomal RNA (255 nucleotides) under Bacillus cereus. Its description in RNAcentral is "partial 16S ribosomal RNA". It matches the Rfam family "Bacterial small subunit ribosomal RNA", at positions 1251 to 1503 of the family's 1533-position model. Lineage: Bacteria; Bacillati; Bacillota; Bacilli; Caryophanales; Bacillaceae. The record is from RNAcentral.
GACCCCACGGGGGUGGAGCUAAACUCAUAAAACCGUUCUCAGUUCGGAUUGUAGGCUGCAACUCGCCUACAUGAAGCUGGAAUCGCUAGUAAUCGCGGAUCAGCAUGCCGCGGUGAAUACGUUCCCGGGCCUUGUACACACCGCCCGUCACACCACGAGAGUUUGUAACACCCGAAGUCGGUGGGGUAACCUUUUUGGAGCCAGCCGCCUAAGGUGGGACAGAUGAUUGGGGUGAAGUCGUAACAAGGUAGCCGU